This 468-nucleotide ribosomal RNA is filed under the name uncultured bacterium. RNAcentral's name for it is "partial 16S ribosomal RNA". It matches the Rfam family "Bacterial small subunit ribosomal RNA", at positions 28 to 507 of the family's 1533-position model. The record is from RNAcentral.
GACGAACGCUGGCGGCGUGCUUAACACAUGCAAGUCGAACGGAAAGGCCCUGCUGUUGUGGGGUGCUCGAGUGGCGAACGGGUGAGUAACACGUGAGUAACCUGCCCUUGACUUUGGGAUAACUUCAGGAAACUGGGGCUAAUACCGGAUAGGAGCUCCUGCUGCAUGGUGGGGGUUGGAAAGUUUCGGCGGUUGGGGAUGGACUGGCGGCUUAUCAGCUUGUUGGUGGGGUAGUGGCUUACCAAGGCUUUGACGGGUAGCCGGCCUGAGAGGGUGACCGGCCCCAUUGGGCCUGAGCUGCGGCACAGACUCCUCCGGGACGCAGCAGUGCGGAAUAUUGCACAAUGGGCGGAACCCUGAUGCAGCAACGCCGCGUGCGGGAUAACGGCAUUCGGGUUGUAAACCGCUUUCGCCUGUGACGAAGCGUGAGUGACGGUAAUGUGUAAAUAAGCACCGGCUAACUACGUG